RNAcentral lists this ribosomal RNA (513 nucleotides) under uncultured bacterium. RNAcentral describes it as "bacterial SSU rRNA". It matches the Rfam family "Bacterial small subunit ribosomal RNA", at positions 11 to 507 of the family's 1533-position model. The record is from RNAcentral.
GUUUGAUCCUGGCUCAGGACGAACGCUGGCGGCGUGCCUAAUACAUGCAAGUCGAGCGGACCAAAGGGAGCUUGCUCCUGGAGGUUAGCGGCGAACGGGUGAGUAACACGUGGGCAACCUGCCUGUAAGACUGGGAUAACAUCGAGAAAUCGGUGCUAAUACCGGAUAAUAAAAAGAACUGCAUGGUUCUUUUUUGAAAGAUGGUUUCGGCUAUCACUUACAGAUGGGCCCGCGGCGCAUUAGCUAGUUGGUGAGGUAACGGCUCACCAAGGCGACGAUGCGUAGCCGACCUGAGAGGGUGAUCGGCCACACUGGGACUGAGACACGGCCCAGACUCCUACGGGAGGCAGCAGUAGGGAAUCUUCCGCAAUGGACGAAAGUCUGACGGAGCAACGCCGCGUGAGUGAUGAAGGUUUUCGGAUCGUAAAACUCUGUUGUUAGGGAAGAACAAGUGCCGUUCGAAAGGGCGGCACCUUGACGGUACCUAACGAGAAAGCCACGGCUAACUACGUG